UCCUAUUGGGAAGCUUGCUGCCGCCUCUGCCUCACGGGCCCGGGUCCGUUAAUUUUGUCCUGGCUCCUCCGACGCUGGCGGCUGGAUUAUGCUGCUGUCGAACGGGAGCAGCAUGCUCCCUGGCGCAGGGUGAGGAACACGUGAACAACCUGCCUUCUGUUGGGGAUAGCUUCUGGAACGGGAAUAUACCGAAUAACAUCAUUUGGUCCAUGACCGGAUGAUCAAGCACAAUGCGCUUGAGAGGGGUUCGCGUCCCUUAUCUAUUGGUGAGGUAACGGCCCACCAAGGCGAUGAUGGGUAGCUGGUCUGAGAGGACGAUCACCACAUUGUGACUGAGAUACUGCCCAGACUCCUACAGGAGGCUGUGCCGAGAAUUUUGGGCAUGACAAAAUCUGACCCACAUGCCGCGUGCGCGAUGAGGUCUCUGAUAGUAACCCUGUCACAGGACGAAAUAUACGGUACUCUGAGAGCCCGCUACUACUGCAGCAGCCGCGUAUACUAGUGCGGCGUGUCUGAUUAUUAGUGGUAAAGGUCUCAGUGUUGAGAUUGACUGAAUCUCAGUCACUCUGACUGCGUGAAACUGCUGAUGAGAUCGAAAGAAUGAAUUACGGUACGUGAUGCUAUAUCGUAACCAAGCACGGGA
RNAcentral lists this ribosomal RNA (643 nucleotides) under uncultured bacterium. RNAcentral describes it as "bacterial SSU rRNA". The stretch from base 72 to 510 matches the Rfam family "Bacterial small subunit ribosomal RNA", at positions 33 to 541 of the family's 1533-position model. The record is from RNAcentral.